Molecule: ribosomal RNA, 502 nt
Filed under: uncultured Pedobacter sp.
Lineage: Bacteria; Pseudomonadati; Bacteroidota; Sphingobacteriia; Sphingobacteriales; Sphingobacteriaceae
Description: partial 16S ribosomal RNA
Source: RNAcentral
CACGGAGUUAGCCGAUCCUUAUUCCUUCGGUACAUUCAGCUAAAUACACGUAUCUAGGUUUAUUCCCGAAUAAAAGCAGUUUACAACCCAUAGGGCAGUCUUCCUGCACGCGGCAUGGCUGGUUCAGAGUUGCCUCCAUUGACCAAUAUUCCUUACUGCUGCCUCCCGUAGGAGUCUGGUCCGUGUCUCAGUACCAGUGUGGGGGCCAUCCUCUCAGAUCCCCUAGUCAUCGUCGCCUUGGUGGGCCGUUACCCCGCCAACUAGCUAAUGACACGCAUGCCCAUCUCCAUCCUAUAAAUAUUUGAUCAUUGCCCAGGUGGGACUGUGAUUUUAUGCGGUGUUAAAUCCGGUAUUUCUCCGGGCUACUCCCCCAGAUAGAAGGUAGGUUGCAUACGCGUUACGCACCCGUGCGCGGUCUCGAAGGUUGCAAGCAACCUCUACCCCUCGACUUGCAUGUAUUAGGCCUGCCGCUACGCGUUCAUCCUGAGCCAGGAGUCAAACU